CCUACGGUGUGCUGCAGUGGGGAAUAUUGGUCAAUGGGAGAGAUCCUGAACCAGCCAAGCCGCGUGAGGGAAGAUGGCCCUAUGGGUUGUAAACCUCUUUUGUAGGAGAACAAAACCCGGGACGUGUCCCGGACUGCGUGUAUCCGAAGAAAAAGCAUCGGCUAACUCCGUGCCAGCAGCCGCGGUAAUACGGAGGAUGAGAGCGUUAUCCGGAUUUAUUGGGUUUAAAGGGUGCGUAGGCGGUCCGUUAAGUCAGCGGUAAAAUUGCGGGGCUCAACCACGUCGAGCCGUUGAAACUGGCAGACUUUAGUUGGCGAGAAGUACGCAGAAUGCGCGGUGUAGCGGUGAAAUG
RNAcentral lists this ribosomal RNA (352 nucleotides) under uncultured bacterium. RNAcentral describes it as "partial 16S ribosomal RNA". It matches the Rfam family "Bacterial small subunit ribosomal RNA", at positions 338 to 688 of the family's 1533-position model. The record is from RNAcentral.